UACGGAGGAUGCGAGCGUUAUCCGGAUUUAUUGGGUUUAAAGGGUGCGUAGGCGGGUUAUCAAGUCAGCGGUAAAAUCGUGGAGCUCAACUCCAUCCAGCCGUUGAAACUGAUGAUCUUGAGUGGGCGAGAGUAUGCGGAAUGCGUGGUGUAGCGGUGAAAUGCAUAGAUAUCACGCAGAACUCCGAUUGCGAAGGCAGCAUACCGGCGCCCGACUGACGC
RNAcentral lists this ribosomal RNA (221 nucleotides) under uncultured bacterium. RNAcentral describes it as "partial 16S ribosomal RNA". It matches the Rfam family "Bacterial small subunit ribosomal RNA", at positions 524 to 746 of the family's 1533-position model. The record is from RNAcentral.